Engraulis encrasicolus (European anchovy) is the source of this 2114-nucleotide long non-coding RNA. RefSeq lists it as uncharacterized. The record is from RefSeq and is a predicted model, not a curated record. Lineage: Eukaryota; Metazoa; Chordata; Actinopteri; Clupeiformes; Engraulidae. The transcript has 3 exons.
AGAUCUUUGAAAAACGGUUCCUGUGAGCUAUAUUUUUGAAAAUACACAGCCCGCCUCUCCCUUCAGCCCUCCCCUCAAAGCCACGCCUUCAAAACACAUGAACGCGCAUGCAGUCUGUCAAGUGUUCGGAUUAUCCCGGGAACCCACGAGAGCUCACGAGGCGGGGGGGCGGGCUAGAAGCCACGACAAAGCGACUAGCCAAGCUAACUUCCAGCCAUGGCACUGUCUCCGGCUACGACCUUCCACGACCACGAGAGCUCCAGCUCUGACUUUCCUGGCCCAUCACAAUCAUAACGACCUAACAGCCCAGUAGGACCGAUGGCCAGAGAUGGAGGAGGAGGAAGAUAGACGCAGCAGAGGUCGGUUUGAUUAGGGAGACUCCAACAGAAUUGACGCCCUGCUAACUGCCUUGAUUCAAUCAUUGAAUUUGAAGCAAUCCCAUCGGUUACUGCAGCGUGCCCUGACCCGUGACCCCAGUUUGAUGUUCGACCUGGCACAUGACAUCUGGUCCUCAGUCACAGCCCAGUAGCACAACCAACCUGGCGCCUCUGCGCAAUCUGUAAGGAGAUGCCCAUGAACAUUGAAAGGAAAUGCUGUGGUGUUCUCAGUUUUGAUAAGACUUUGGGCUGAUGUAGGACCAGGUGAGAGAAACGGUCUCUUCAGGCAUGCAGCCUGCAGACAGUAUGGGGCACUUGAACAGGGCUGACCUUGUAAUACACAGUACAAUACCCAGGAUUAGCCAGGGUUACCCUGCUCCAAUAGAGCAAUAUAAAAGGUUUAUACAGAGUACGGUAUAAAACACACAAACCGGCAGUGUGCAGACUUUUAUUAUUUUUCAUUAUCUGUAGGAGCAUUCAUCUGUACAUCUCACCUUUUUGGUUUGGAACCACGUUUGUCUUGUUACCAUUGUUUUUUUCAUACAUAGAAAAUAAAUGCAACCUGUCAAAUGUUCUUCUGAUUGUGGUCUUGUGGAAUAUAUAAAUUAUGUAACCAUGCAUUUUCAGUCAGAGAAUGAAUUAAAAAAAAAGCCACACAGUCAAAUUGUGUCCACCAAUAUUUACUGUCAUUGAAAUGUAUGGACAAUUUAAACAAUGUAUUACACAUGACACUAGAUACAUUACUUUAUACUAUAUUUACAGUUGUCAUUACCACACAAAAACUCUGGGAAGGUGGGUAAGUGCAGCAACUGUGAAGGGCCUGGUUUGAGGUUGGAGGCAUACAUACAUAAGUAUGUGGUUGUGGAAGGACCCUGUCGGCUGUUGACCUGAGGGAAAAAAGAGCACAAAUUGCAUAUUAGCACAGAGCCCAUGCUUAGACCAUAGACAGAUAAAUCAUCUGGCACAAUCUGCAUGCAACCAACAGAACCUAGAAAGAGAAAGAUUAGCAGCAAUACACAAAGGGGACAAGUAUACAAAAACAUGCAAAGUGUUCUGAUAAGGUGCAUGGAGGUAGUCUGUGUUGAUUCCAGCAACCUCAAAGACUGAAAAGUGUCCCAGUGUGUUGAAUUGAAAACUUGGCGCGUGCGCGCGCACACAUAGGAAUAUCAUAAUUUAGUGCAGUGUUUCUCAACAGGGGUGCCGGGGCACCCUGGGGUGCCGUAGGGCCCCCUCAGGGGUGCCGCGGAAACGUGGCUGAUAAAUAAAUUAUAUAACAUAAAACAUAUUUGUCAAAAUUGAUAAGUUAAUGUUAGUCAGUGGAAUCUUUGAUCUGCCAUUUACGCACAAUAAAGUAAAUAUUGGUCACCCCAGCUGCAACUUUGAACGUAGGUCGUGCUACUAGGUUGUGUGUCUCCUAAUGUGUUACAUUCUAAGCUUGUGUGGUAUCGGAUGUGAUGCUAUAUGGCUACUUGGUUUGGGGUGCCUUGAAAUUUUCCAUGAAUUGAAAGGGUGCCUCGCCUAAAAAAAGGUUGAGAAACACUGAUUUAGUGUAUCAAUUACAACUACAGGAUCUGUUCGCUUUUGUCAGAUAGAACCAUUGUUUUUCAAAGGCAGAUCAUUCCAAAAAGGAUAGUAGUAUCUGCAACUGGACGAAAUUACACCCACAAACAUGAAUAAAAUAAACUACCAGUGUGCGGUGAUUCAUUCUUCAUUUACUUGGCAGCCUUGAUAUGUUGU